GACGAACGCUGGCGGCGUGCUUAACACAUGCAAGUCGAACGGAAAGGCCUGCUUUCCCUUGUGGAUUGCGGGUACUCGAGUGGCGAACGGGUGAGUAACACGUGAGUGAUCUGCCCCCAACUUGGGUAUAAGCCUGGGAAACUGGGUCUAAUUCCCGAUAGGACUGCAGGGUGGUGCCUGUGGUGGAAAACGAUUUUCUAGUGGUUGGGGAUGAGCUCGCGGCCUAUCAGCUUGUUGGUGGGGUAAUGGCCUACCAAGGCGGCGACGGGUAGCCGGCCUGAGAGGGUGGACGGGCACAUUGGGACUGGGACACGGCCCAGACGCAUACGGGAGGCAGCAGUGGGGAAUAAUGCACGAUGGGCGGAAGCCUGAUGCAGCGACGCCGCGUGGGGGAUGACGGCCUUCGGGUUGUAAACUCCUUUCGAGCGCGAGGAAGCCACCUGGUUGGAAGGGUGGUGACGGUAGUGGUAGAAGAAGCACCGGCUAACUACGUG
RNAcentral lists this ribosomal RNA (494 nucleotides) under uncultured bacterium. RNAcentral describes it as "partial 16S ribosomal RNA". It matches the Rfam family "Bacterial small subunit ribosomal RNA", at positions 28 to 507 of the family's 1533-position model. The record is from RNAcentral.